Small nucleolar RNA from Myripristis murdjan (pinecone soldierfish), 85 nucleotides. Ensembl annotates it as small nucleolar RNA SNORD103/SNORD85. Lineage: Eukaryota; Metazoa; Chordata; Actinopteri; Holocentriformes; Holocentridae. The record is from Ensembl.
UCUGGCUGUGAUGACACACUUGCCCCUCACUGAGAGAUCAGUCUCGAUAAUGAGAAUUUCUUGUACUCAUAUUUCCUGAGCCACA